RNAcentral lists this ribosomal RNA (253 nucleotides) under uncultured bacterium. RNAcentral's name for it is "partial 16S ribosomal RNA". It matches the Rfam family "Bacterial small subunit ribosomal RNA", at positions 524 to 776 of the family's 1533-position model. The record is from RNAcentral.
UACGGGGGGAGCAAGCGUUGUUCGGAUUUACUGGGCGUAAAGGGCGCGUAGGCGGUCGUGACAAGUCACUUGUGAAAUCUCCGGGCUUAACUCGGAACGGUCAAGUGAUACUGUCGGACUAGAGUACAGAAGGGGCAACUGGAAUUCUCGGUGUAGCGGUGAAAUGCGUAGAUAUCGAGAGGAACACCUGCGGCGAAGGCGGGUUGCUGGGCUGAUACUGACGCUGAGGCGCGAAAGCCGGGGAGCGAACGGG